UACGUAGGUGGCUAGCGUUAUCCGGAUUUAUUGGGCGUAAAGGGAACGCAGGCGGUCUUUUAAGUCUGAUGUGAAAGCCUUCGGCUUAACCGGAGUAGUGCAUUGGAAACUGGGAGACUUGAGUGCAGAAGAGGAGAGUGGAACUCCAUGUGUAGCGGUGAAAUGCGUAGAUAUAUGGAAGAACACCAGUGGCGAAAGCGGCUCUCUGGUCUGUAACUGACGCUGAGGUUCGAAAGCGUGGGUAGCAAACAGG
RNAcentral lists this ribosomal RNA (253 nucleotides) under uncultured bacterium. RNAcentral describes it as "partial 16S ribosomal RNA". It matches the Rfam family "Bacterial small subunit ribosomal RNA", at positions 524 to 776 of the family's 1533-position model. The record is from RNAcentral.